Molecule: transfer RNA, 69 nt
Filed under: Bos taurus (domestic cattle)
Lineage: Eukaryota; Metazoa; Chordata; Mammalia; Artiodactyla; Bovidae
Also listed under: 1 other name
Rfam family: tRNA
About the family: Transfer RNA (tRNA) molecules are approximately 80 nucleotides in length.
Source: Rfam by way of RNAcentral
CCUGGUAUUUCAGUUGGUAAAGAAUCUGCUUGCAGUGCAGGAGACCCAGGUUCAAUCCCUGGGUCAGGA